This is a long non-coding RNA of Musa acuminata AAA Group (dessert banana), 2323 nucleotides long. RefSeq lists it as uncharacterized. The transcript has 4 exons. Lineage: Eukaryota; Viridiplantae; Streptophyta; Magnoliopsida; Zingiberales; Musaceae. The record is from RefSeq and is a predicted model, not a curated record.
UACCAAUUAGAAUCCUCAGAAUCACAAGACACCAAAACUUUGUCUUCUCUUACUUGGUCAAGAAGCUGCAGAUGAUAAGCCUGAGGAAGAAAUGAGAGCCAGGAAUUCUUGCAAGAAAUCUGUGUGGUCAGCAAACGAAAUGGCACAAAAGGUCCUAACAAUUUUUCUCCAUCUUCCUCCCCAGAAAGCUUUUGUUUCAAGGUUCUUCUAUUGAAGCUUUCCAGUGAAGUUAGUAAGAGUUGGGACUUCAACUUCAAUCUGGCUCAGUAACAGUGGGUGGAUGAUAAGCUAAGCUAAAAACAAUUGAGAAGGACAUGCAAAUCAACAAGAAGGUGGUGGAUGGGAAACGGAUUCAGAUCCAACUCACGGGAUUUCUGGAAAAGAAGUUCUUGAGGAGCUUUGGGGAUUUCUGCUCAGUUCACAGAACAAUUCGAAUGGUGGCAUAACAGCCCAAUAACAAAUGUUUGGGGGAAACAAGCUAGCCAUGUCAGGUUAAGUUCAUUCUUUUAUCUUCUCUAAUGUCAAACUUGAUUCUCAAGUUAUCUCUGCAUCCAUGCUGAUUCUAAUGUUCGGGGAGAAUGUGUCUUCGAUGAAUGGUAACAAUUCUGCAGCAGGUAUGAGAAAGCAAAGGACCCAUGCUAAUGAAUUCAUUCGUGAAGAGUAUUCUUUUGAUGGAUUAUCUGUCGAUCAGUCUCCAGGCUCCUGAGGUCAUUCUGCAAACAUGAGCUUAAAAAGGAAGGAAACUCAACGUAAGAGGCAAUUGGAUCUUCUGAAAAGACAUGUACAAAACAAGUUGCUGGAUCUUCAAACAAAACGGAAUAUGGUCACGGAAGGGUAAAGAACAUUCGAAAUGGUAUUUCUCAUGAUAAAUGACAUUUGUCCAAGAUGACCACAUGGGAUGCAUCUGUGUCCAAAGAAGUGUCUAAUAAGCUGGUCCUUAAAAGCUCUUAUGUGGAACUUUCUGUAUUUGAUGCCAUAAAUCGGUUAGUGAUGGUAUACAGAGAGUCAUGUUGUCAAAUUCAUAGGUAUCAUUAGGAUUCUGAAGAGACCGAUAUGCCUAAUUAUUAAAGGCCAUUAGGCAUUAAAUGUUUGUCUCCAUAGAUAAAGUUUUCCUCCAUCACCUCCACUUUGUGUUAGACAAUCACCGUAAGGAUUAAGCACAUCUUUUCGUAUAGCGUACUGUUUGAUGCAUUCUAUUUUACUUUGUCAGCUAAAGUGGCAAAAUAGGGAUGCCAUUGAGUUGAAUUUGUGGUGCAACUUUGGCACACAUGACUGCUAUAUCUUCUUGGUAUUUAUAUAUAGCUUUAUAAAGACCUUUUUUUUUUUUCUUCUGUUGGAGCUUGAAUUACUUUAAGGCUUUAACUUUGCUUCGACUAGCCACAUCUUGUACUUGAUACUUCCUUUAGGAUCUAUAUGCUAGUUCCUUGUAGUUCAAAGUCUCAUCCAUCAUAAGCUGCGAGGGCCUCGGCAUGAUAUUUCUUCAGUAUUUGGUAUUCGAUAACAUCCUCAGGAAAAAGUGACCUUGUGGUGCAUAUGGUGUAUUGAGAAUCGAAAGCUCUAGUCAUAUCGCAACUCUUGAGAUCCCAAAUGGGUAAAGGUAACUUCAUUGGUAAGUGUUAGUACUUGAAAAAAUUAAUUGCUCUUUUUCACUUAAAGUAUCUCAAACCUGUCUUUGCAAGCCGAUACAUAGUUACAUCACAAAUAAUUCUAUGAAUUUUCGCUAUCGUACUUAAAAGACUUAUCGUCAUGCUUUCAGGUUCACUGCAAUUAUGUUCCCUUCGUGCAACGAAUGGAAUCCGUGGCUGUACCUGUUUCACGAGGAAACGAGACCUUUCGGAUCUGCCAUGCCAAGAGUUUUCUCUCCGUCCAACACAAAUCCGGAUAAACUACACACGUUCGAUAACUGUUCGAGGUCAGCACAACAAAGCCGAAACAGAGAUGGCGGCCCACCACAGGGACAGGACAAAGGGCGAGUUGAUGGCGAGUCGGAGGCGCAGAUUGGGCCAACGCUCCUCUGCCGUGCAGUUGCCGUGAAGAUGCAUGCAACCGGACAUUGGGAUAAGAAAGCGGCAAGCGCCGGAUGUCGACACCCCCCCCUUUAUUGUGCUCAAUGAUGUGAAAGAUUCUGCAAGCACGUGGUGUGGAAAGCACCACCAGGGACUUGCUUCACAACAACAGGGUGAGAGGACCCAGAGAGGUUGUUGGUAUUAUGAGAAGUACAGUUGUGUUCUACACCACACACGCUCCAGGAGAGAGUGGGAAGCUAAAUAGUCGAUAGAACAUGGACGAUGGGAGCCCUAUCAUCUCCUACAGAAGUAAACUU